This is a small nuclear RNA of Leptopilina heterotoma, 131 nucleotides long. RefSeq annotates it as U11 spliceosomal RNA. The transcript has a single exon. NCBI's taxonomy places the organism in Eukaryota, Metazoa, Arthropoda, Insecta, Hymenoptera, Figitidae. The record is from RefSeq and is a predicted model, not a curated record.
AAAAAGGGUGCUCGCUACUUCAAUAGCGCGUCGAUUCAAACUGUUUCGGCGGGGUAUGGCUAUCAAGACAUACCCAGUACAUAAUUUUUGUAAUUAGAGGCUGUUGGCUGCCACCUUGCACCGACGCCUCU